This 467-nucleotide ribosomal RNA is filed under the name uncultured bacterium. RNAcentral describes it as "partial 16S ribosomal RNA". It matches the Rfam family "Bacterial small subunit ribosomal RNA", at positions 28 to 507 of the family's 1533-position model. The record is from RNAcentral.
GAUGAACGCUGACAGAAUGCUUAACACAUGCAAGUCAACUUGAAUUUGGGUUUUUAACUUAGGUUUGGGUGGCGGACGGGUGAGUUACGCGUAAAGAACUUGCCUCACAGCUAGGGACAACAUUUGGAAACGAAUGCUAAUACCUAAUAUUAUGAUAAUAGGGCAUCCUAUAAUUAUGAAAGCUAUAAGCGCUGUGAGAGAGCUUUGCGUCCCAUUAGCUAGUUGGAGAGGUAACGGCUCACCAAGGCGAUGAUGGGUAGCCGGCCUGAGAGGGUGAUCGGCCACAAGGGGACUGAGACACGGCCCUUACUCCUACGGGAGGCAGCAGUGGGGAAUAUUGGACAAUGGACCGAGAGUCUGAUCCAGCAAUUCUGUGUGCACGAUGAAGUUUUUCGGAAUGUAAAGUGCUUUCAGUUGGGAAGAAACAAAUGACGGUACCAACAGAAGAAGUGACGGCUAAAUACGUG